RNAcentral lists this ribosomal RNA (253 nucleotides) under uncultured bacterium. RNAcentral's name for it is "partial 16S ribosomal RNA". It matches the Rfam family "Bacterial small subunit ribosomal RNA", at positions 524 to 776 of the family's 1533-position model. The record is from RNAcentral.
UACGGGGGGAGCAAGCGUUGUUCGGAUUUAUGGGCGUAAAGGGCGCGUAGGCGGUCGUGACAAGUCACUUGUGAAAUCUCCGGGCUUAACCCGGAAAGGUCAACCGAUACUGCGGGGCUAGAGUGCAGAAGGGGCAACUGGAAUUCUCGGUGUAGCGGUGAAAUGCGUAGAUAUCGAGAGGAACACCUGCGGCGAAGGCGGGUUGCUGGGCUGACACUACGCUGAAGUGCGAAAGCUAGGGGGAGCGAACGGG